This 259-nucleotide long non-coding RNA is filed under the name Oncorhynchus mykiss (rainbow trout). RNAcentral's name for it is "lncRNA (ENSOMYG00000068244.1)". Lineage: Eukaryota; Metazoa; Chordata; Actinopteri; Salmoniformes; Salmonidae. The record is from RNAcentral.
GGAGCAGGGUAGUGUGUAUAACUAGGGAGCAGGGUAGUGUAUAUAUCUAAGGAGCAGGGUAGUGUAUAUAUCUAGGGAGCAGGGUAGUGUCUAUAACUAGGGAGCAGGGUAGUGUGUAUAACUAGGGUAGUGUAUAUAUCUAGGGAGCAGGGUAGUGUGUAUAACUAGGGUAGUGUAUAUAUCUAGGGAGCAGGGUAGUGUAUAUCUAAGGAGCAGGGUAGUGUAUAUAACUAGGGAGCAGGGUAGUGUCUAUAACUAG